RNAcentral lists this ribosomal RNA (301 nucleotides) under uncultured bacterium. RNAcentral's name for it is "partial 16S ribosomal RNA". It matches the Rfam family "Bacterial small subunit ribosomal RNA", at positions 509 to 807 of the family's 1533-position model. The record is from RNAcentral.
CAGUCGCCGCGGGAAUACGAAGGGGGCUAGCGUUGUUCGGAAUUACUGGGCGUAAAGCGCACGUAGGCGGAUUUUUAAGUCAGGGGUGAAAUCCCGAGGCUCAACCUCGGAACUGCCUUUGAUACUGGAGAUCUUGAGUUCGGAAGAGGUUGGUGGAACAGCUAGUGUAGAGGUGAAAUUCGUAGAUAUUAGCUAGAACACCAGUGGCGAAGGCGGCCAACUGGUCCGAUACUGACGCUGAGGUGCGAAAGCGUGGGGAGCAAACAGGAUUAGAGACCCCCGUAGUCCCUGUCUCUUAUAC